CCUACGGGAGGCAGCAGUGGGGAAUAUUGGGCAAUGGGCGCAAGCCUGACCCAGCAACGCCGCGUGAAGGAAGAAGGCUUUCGGGUUGUAAACUUCUUUUCUCAGGGACGAAGCAAGUGACGGUACCCGAGGAAUAAGCCACGGCUAACUACGUGCCAGCAGCCGCGGUAAUACGUAGGGGGCAAGCGUUAACCGGAUUUACUGGGUGUAAAGGGCGUGUAGGCGGGACUGCAAGUCAGAUGUGAAAACCACGGGCUGAACCUGUGGCCUGCAUUUGAAACUGUAGUUCUUGAGUACUGGAGAGGCAGACGGAAUUCCUAGUGUAGCGGUGAAAUGCGUAGAUAUUAGGAGGAACACCAGUGGCGAAGGCGGUCUGCUAGACAGCAACUGACGCUGAGGCGCGAAAGCGUGGGGAGCAAACAGGAUUAGAUACCCCAGUAGUC
RNAcentral lists this ribosomal RNA (443 nucleotides) under uncultured bacterium. Its description in RNAcentral is "partial 16S ribosomal RNA". It matches the Rfam family "Bacterial small subunit ribosomal RNA", at positions 338 to 795 of the family's 1533-position model. The record is from RNAcentral.